AUUGGUUUUAAAGGAUCCUUUGCAGAUGCAGGAUCUUCUGCUAAGACAUUUGCAGUUUUGUCCGGAGUGCACUGUUUGGUUGUCUGCAUGUUGAAGAGGCUGCGAGGAAAGGAUGAUGGUAUGGGAACUUGAAUGCAGAAAUAGUACUUUUACGUUAUUCGUUCAUUAUAUCGUGUUCACUAUUUCUUCCACUACAUUUUUUAAUGCUGGAGUAGCUGGAUGUUGCAUUGGUCUUGCUCUUAGUUUUCCAGGUGCACCCCAGGCUC
Malus domestica (apple) is the source of this 266-nucleotide non-coding RNA. The record is from RefSeq and is a predicted model, not a curated record. NCBI's taxonomy places the organism in Eukaryota, Viridiplantae, Streptophyta, Magnoliopsida, Rosales, Rosaceae.